CAGGGGGUCCCGAGACUCAAAAGAAGCAUUGAAUUUUAAAAGGCAUGCAAUAAUUCUUGUGGGCGUAUGUCAAGUCAUGUAAGUUUGAAUGUAAUUAUUGGUGAAGGGGUUUCAUUUUCUGUCUCUAAAUCGAGAUACUGAUUCUUUAAGGUACAUGCCAGAAGGGAUUGCGAGAUUAACAAGUCUCCGGACAUUGGAAGAGUUCCAUUGAGUGGAGGAAGUGCUGAUGGUGGCAAAGCAUGUGGUAUAAGUAGACUGGGAAAGGUGUUAGAUGUGGGUGAGGCUACGAGAUUAGAGCUUAACCAACUGAAAUACCUCCUUAGGUUGAGACUUAAAUUUGAUGGGGAAGAAGGAGAAGAAGAAGUAAGGAGGAAGAACGUGGAUGAUCAACGUGUUCUUGAAGCCUUGCAACCACCUCUGACUUUGAAGGAAUUAGAGUUACUGUGAUACAGAGGCAACACUUUUCCCCCCUAGAUGAUGCAAAAAUUGAAGGAAUUUACCAAUUUAAGGAAUUUGACACCUUAAAACUGCAAAAAUUGUGAGCAGCUGCCUCCUUUGGGAAAAUUGGGAUCCCUUGAAAAGCUCAGCAUAUCGUACAUGGAGAGUGUGAAAAGAGUGGGUAAUGAGUUUUUUGGGGAUAGAAAGUGAUCAUUGUGACUCAUCUUCAUCUUCAUCUUCAUCGCUUAUUAUUGCCUUCCCCAAAUUGAAAUCACUUUCAGUUGAAGGAUUGAUGGAAUUGGAGGACUGGGAUUAUGGGAUUAAAAGAAUGGGAUACACCUCCAUCAACAUUAUGCCACGUCUUUCUUCCUUGGAAAUUAGUGUGGGAUUACGGGAUCGCUUUCAUGAAACAACGACGUUGAAGGUAUUGCACAUUGUGCAUGUCGUACUCUAGGAAGAUGUAACAGACAGAGGAGAAGAGCGACUGGCCUAAGAUCUCUCACAUUCCAGACACCAUGAUUGUGUGAAAGGAGGCCCUCGACAAAAUUCUCUAGGCGGCUACAUGGAGUACAAUCGUAAAAUGAUAAUGCCGCCACGCUGGUUCUUAAUUAAGGUUGUGAAAUAUUAUUGUAAAAGAUGAUUAAUUCAAUUUGAGUAAUUUGUUUGCUUUGAUAAUGAUGGUGCUAGAUUGGUGAGACAGGAUAUGGUUCAAACCCCAUUGGAUAAAGCUAUGGACAUGGUGCCUCAACUUAGCUAGAUUGCUGUCAAAAUUGGUAAGUUGGUUUGUCAAUGUAUUGAUGCUUUUGUUUUCUCUCAACUCUAUUUACCUUACCUUCAUUUAUUUGGGCUCUGGAGUUAAGAGUAAUAACUUUCGAGGUUCUCAAACAGAGCAGGACAACUGGACCCAAAAAAAGAAAAAAAAAGGAAAGAAGAAGAAGCUUAAUUUGUGCAGAUCACGUAUUGCCGUUAUUUAAGGUAAUUCUUGUUUACUUGCGUCUGCACUAUAGAGUGCGCGUUCUUGCUGGUUUCUCUAAUUCAUCAAAUGUUAUUUCCAUAUGUUUCCAUUGAUGUAUUUUUGCAUAUCAAGCAGAAACAGAACCCAAAGAAAAUGAAACCAUUUUCGGCAGCAGUUGGCAGUGAAUUCAUGCAAAUGUUGAUGCCAUUCAUAGAUAUCAAAGACGAUGACGAGCCAAAGGUGAUGCAUCAUAAAUGCAUAAUUACCAAACCUCCAUCCUUCUCUCAUUGUAAUUAGGGAUGGCAAUGGAUUGGAUUUGAUCCAAGAUCCAUGUGAUCCAAAUCCAAUCGGAUCAGAUUUGGAUCGGUUUAAAAUGGAUUUGGAUCGGAUUUGGAUAUCGAUGUGCGGAUCUAAGACGGAUCUGGGGCAGAUAUGGAUCUAUCUUAAUAUCUAAAUCCAUAUCCAUAUCCACUCAUCUUUUAAUUUUAUUUUAUUUUAAAAGUUUCUUAAUAAUUGUGGAAUGAUAAUGAUAAUAAAUUUUAUUCAUAGCAUAUUAGUAGUAUUUACCAUGUAUUUAAACUCUUAAAACUUAAAGGUUAGUUUUGUAAAUUUAAAGGUCAGCUAGCCUCAAAGCAUGUACAUGCAAUAUUCAAAUUGCAAUCCAAGUAAUAUAACCUGGUAAUUUAUUUUAUCAUAUUGGCCAAAUAAUUUUUAAGGAAUAUAGUUAUUCAUAUAUUUAGUCAAAUAUGGUCAUAAUAAAAAUAAUAAAGGACUGAAUAUAAAUCAUAUUUAAUUUAUAUGUCAUUAUCUAAUGUUGUAGGAAUGAGGGUAGGUGUAUCGUGGAUAUUAGAAUGAUGAAUGAGACAAUAGAAUAUUAGAUUGAUCUUACUCUUGCAAUUACUUCUGAAUGAUAUUUUAUUAUCUUUCUUAUUUGUUGUUUUGGUGUAGAAGUAUAAGCUACAAUAUUUAUUAUAUUUUUGAGAAAAAUUAUAUAAUUUAUUUGUUAUCAAUACAUUUUAGCCUUUAAUUUUCAAUCUAAAAAAUUAUUACUUUUUUAUUACGGAAUUUUAGAAUUCAUGACGGAUCUAGAGCAAAUUUGGAUUUUAAUUUUUUUUUCGGAUUUGGAGCAGAUAUAGAUAUUUAUUUCUUUUUUGGAUCUGGAUAUGGAGCAAAAAAUAUGGAUUCAUAACGGAUCUGGAGCAGAUACGGAUCUUAAUUUUUAUUAUGGAUUUGGAUCUGGAGCAGAGUAGAUCCAACCCAUAUCUGCCCCAUUGCCAUCCCUAAUUGUAAUUUGGUUUGAAAUGAAUUAUUGCCAGGUAAUUGAGCCGAUAUUGUUAAAAAGCGUGUUGAGCUACCAAAGCUAAGAAGUUGUUGCCAAAAAUGCGGGGGAUCACAAGAAGCAUUGCAUUUGAAAAGGAAUGAGAUUCUGGUGGCGACAUGUCAAUCCAUAUGAGUUUAAAUAAGUUUAAUGGUUCAAGAAUGUUAGCUUCUGGUUCAAUUUGUGCAUUCAGGUGCUAUGAUGCUGCUACUGGGAAAUUUGGAUCCCAUAUUCGACAUUCCUCACAUCAGGAGCUGUGGAUCUUUAGACAUCAGAUUUUAAUUUCUGUAAUGUUAAAUUUCCCAAAACAUUAAAAAAAACAAUGCUGUAUACAUGGUGAAUGAUCUGGCGUAUCUAUAGGUAUUACCCAAGACAUUUCUGAGAACCUGAACUAGGAAUCCUUGUAUUUUUCUUUAUGUCAAGACAGUGACUUGAAGAUUUUAGAUUAUUAUUUUUGGCCAUUUUAUAAUUGUUGGCAUAUUGAACUUGAGUAAUUUUGAUAAACCAUAGUUCAGGAAUGUCUGAUAGAAAUAUUGGAAACUUGAACUUGAAUAUUAGAUUUGAAAUUAAAGAGGUAAGCCAUUAAAAUACAUCAAAGGAUUUGGAAAAUGGAGGAAUUGGAAUAUUGGUAUGAUGGGAUUACAAGAAAGGGAAACUUUUGCAUCAACAUCAAGCAUUGGGCAUUUUCAUUUGUCCUAUUCUAACACCAGUUAGGAAUAUCAACAAGGAGUUGUGCUAUGAAUUAAGUAAUCUGCCAGUAAUGCAAGCAUUGAAUGUGAAGAGCUUCACAUAACUUUGAAUUAGCUUAUGAUUUAACACUAUUCCUUUUUGUAUGUGAUCAUGCAUUACGCCGUAGAUGAAAAAUUUGAGGAGUUGAUGAUGGUUGUAAAUAUAAUUGAUAGGUAGAUAAACGUUAAAUAUCGUUUUAUAAACCAACGCGAUUAGAUUACGCUUUCGAUCGAAAAUGUAAUUAAGUCUUAUUUUAAUCCAAAUAAUUCAAUGAAAUUUUGAUAAUGCUUUAUAAUGAAAUUAGAUAACGCUCUAAUUCAAACGACUCCAUAAGAAAAUAAUUUUUUUUUUUACUAUAUUGAGAAUGCAAAAAAAUAUUUACGAUUUUAUGAACUUUUAUAUAUAUAUAUUUAAUCUUUUAACUUAUUUUUUAGGGUUAUUUAUUGUCAGCCCCCACAAGUUUUGACCAUUAGCACUGGGCACGCACAAGUUUCGACCAUGUGCACCGCGCCUCCAUUUCCAUCAAACUACCGUUAACUUAACUCGAAAAAAGGGUAAAAUGAUAAUUUCAUAUAAGAUUAAAAUAAUAAAUAAAAAACAAAAAAAAAAAACACUCUUUUUUAUCCUUCACUCUUUUUCCCCCUUUUCUCUCUCUCUCACGUCUUCUUUCUUUUUUCUCUUCUUCUUCUUCGCCUCUUCUUUCUUUCCCUCUUCUUCUUCUUCUUCUUCGCGUCUUUUUUCUUUCACUCUUCUGCUUCUUUCUUCUUCGCCUUCUUCUUCUUCUUUUUUCUUCUUCUUCUUGCCUUUCACUACUGUUGCCUGCCGGUGUGAUCUGCCGCCGUCUCAAAUCAACAACAACAAAAUGGCACACGCUGCGUGAUCUACCAUCGUUUGAAGCCACCGACGCCACCGCCUGAAGCAGCCGCCAUUCCCACCGCCUCUAUAAUUUAAUUUAGGGUUUUUGAUUUUUAGUUCCUUUUUGUUAAAUUUUCUUGGUUUGGGUUUCUUUUGUAAUAGAAUUUUACAAUGAAAUUUUGGUAUAAUUAUCUUCGGUUUCUUUAUUAUUGGGUUUUGUUUGUUUUGGUGGGAUUUAGGGAAUUAUUUUGUAAUCUACUGAUGAUUUUGUGUUUGAUUUUUUUCUUAUCCUUUGGAAUACCGAAGUUAAAAAUGGCAGGAAAAUUACAAGUCUUUAAAGAUGUUUCAAUUUUGGGAGAAUUUGGCAACGACGUUACUGCAGAUAUGGAUAGGGCUAAAUUAAGGCUAAGGGUUAUGUAUUUCAGGUAACAAGGCUCCAUGAAAGAAGAGGAAAACAGAGACAGAUGGACUACGUUUGAGGAGAUUGAUUUAAGAUGAGAGAGUGGAGGGUGACUAAAGCAGAGCAGUAAUAAAGAAUUUAUCCGCAAGUUGUGAUGACCUGGUCUCCAUAAAUUAGAAACUUAAUUAUGAUGAGCCGCAUUUAUCACACACAAUUUGCCUAUUUGAACCUUGGUUUUAUGCGACUAAACACGUAGCGGUCCGAUAUAAGAUAAGAUUAUAAUAAGAUUAACAUUGCACAAAUAGAAAUUACAAUUAGAUGAAGAGCAGAUGAAAUUCAUUAACGUGCUUGAACAGUUAUUCAUUCAAUUCGAUGGCAUGCCAUAUUCAAAGGAAUUGGCGGAUCCGAAUAUGCACCACCAGCGGUUUGUUGAAAAAUGAACUUGUUAGCCACCUGAGUGAAGUGAACGCCGUCCCACACAACAUAACCUGAAGGAUCGUCGCACGGCUUCCCCAGUAGCACUUGCUUCCCGUCUGUCAUCUUGCUUCUCCACCGCUCUGUCUCUCAUCUUGAAAGUUUACUGGUUUUACAAUUUUGUUAUGAUAAUGAAUGAAGAAAAAAUCGUUUCAAUAUAAGAUAUUAUUAUUAUUAAAUUUUAUUUUUUAAUGUAAAUUUUAUAAGUUGUAAGAGGUAUUUUUGUAUUUUAAACUCAAUUCAAUUCAAAUUAGGGGUAGUAUGGUCUUUUAAGUUAAUAACAGCCUAACCAGUUAGAAUUAUCUGAUUUUUUGACGGAAAUGAGGGUGCAGUGCACAUGGUCGAAACUUGUGGGUGCGUGGUGCUAAUGGUCGAAACAUGUGGGGGCUGACGAUAAAUAACCCUAUUUUUUAUUUAAUAAAAUGAGGACUCCCUCCUUGGAAGCUAACUUCAUACAUACAUACAUACAUAUGUCUAUAUAUAUAUAUAUAUAUGACUUGGUUAUUAAUAUUUCAUUUCUACAAAUUAUAUUUAAAUCUGUCAUUUGUUUAAUUCAUAAUCUAAAAGUGAGACCUGAAAAAUUAAAUUACAAAUUGAAGAAUUUAUAUUGUAUUCCUUAUAUUUCAGUUCAUAAAAACAAUAGGAAAGCUAUUCUUCGAUGUGUCUUUCCGAAUAAAAUAAUGUUCGAAAAACAAAAUGUUUCUUUUUUGAGAAUUGAACAGUUUUUAAAUUAUUUCCGAAACAAUAUAUUUAUUGUUCACCUUAAGAAAUAAUUGAUCAGAUUUAAAUUAAAAACCAAACAUAUAUUCAAUUGCCACACCUCUUUCUCUUGAAAAUGCGAUGUUAUUAAAAUUUAAGUUUCAAUAAAUUUAUCGAAAUUAACAAUAAUUAAUAACAUGUGACAAUAUUUUAUCAAUAGUUUCCAAUAUUCACAGUUAAAAUAUAUAAAAUUACCAUCAUAUAAUUCUAUAUGAUUAAGUGCUAGUAGAUUCAACUAAUAGGCUUGGAGCUGAUCACAAAGUAAAGGCAUAUAAUCAUUUCCCUUUCUUACUUAACUAAUAUAUCAAAAUUUUAUUAUAUAAAUCUCAUCAUGUAAUUGAAAAUACUUUUAUUAUAAUUGCGAAUUAAAACUAAUUUUUUAGUUUUAUAUUAAAAUUCUCUUUGGGAAAAAAGAUAAAAAAAGAAAAAGAAAAUGAAAAGAGACCAGAAAACUACGUCGUAUUGGCGAUACAAAAUCGUUUUAACGUUGACAGAACAUCAAAUAUUCCUUUCUUUUGAUUUCGAUUUUCGCUUUUUCAAAAACGACGGCCGUUUGCUGUCUCUCCACUCUGAUUGAUAGAAACAAAGAAAAAGAAAAACACAGCGAUGAACGAGAUCUCGAGACAUCGAUCUUUUCAAUUUUUACUAUUAAUUUCAUCAAUUUGUCUACAAUUCAUCCCAGGUUCGUUCUCCUAUUCAAAAUUUUAAUUUUUAAAAAAAAAUUUUACGAUUAAUUUGCGUUAAUUGUCGCUUGGAUUGCUAAUAUUUGUGUGUUUAAAUCAUAAAAUUAUGUUUUUUAGUUUUAGGUUUUUUUUAUUUAUAUGAUUGGUUUGUGAAAUCUGUAUGGAUUUGUUUUGGUUGGUUAAUUUUCUAGGUUUUAGAAUUUAAUUGAACUUUUAGAUGAAAUGGAAAAAUCCAAAUAAACAGCAAAGAUUUCAUCUUUUUAGUGCGUAAUUUAAAAAAAAAAUUGAUUUUUUUUUUGUUCUGUUUUGUUCUUUGAUGUAAGCUUGAGAAUUUUUAAAAACAAAGCUAUAAGAAUGUUUCUAGUUGUCUUAGAACAUAUGAAUUGCAAUGAGUUGUAGGAGAAGCAAAGUGAUGGGUGAGAAUGAGAGUGUGAGAUCAUCUAUUAGUCAAGUUCUUAAGACACUAGAGGAAGAGAUUCCAGUCUGAGUUUAAUAAACUUAGUUUUGGAUUACUCCAGCAACAAAUUUUUGAGAAAGUGGCAUUGAGUAUGUACGUACAUAGAUAUUUCUCAUAAAUAUGCCAUGUAUGUGGUGUUUGAAUUGUUGAUGCAAGUCAUUGUAAGGGAUGUUUUGUGAUGAAUUGCACUAACUAAGAAUUCCAACCUUGAAUUGAUAUUCCAAGUGUUGAUUUACAAGCAUAAUUGGGAAAGCUGUGAAGUGAGUUUAAAUUAGCUUCUCAGAUCUUUAACCAUUAUGAUAAAUGCAUGAUUUGCGAUAUAACCAGAUUACUUGGAUUUUGUAUAAGCAGCCAUUAACAGAACCUUUGAGGCUGAAGCAACCAUACUAUUUCUAUCUCUUCUAGGAACUUGGCUUUGGUAGUGACUGGGACUUCGUUGUGGGUCAAAUAAAUAAAUUGGGUCGUUGUUUCAUUUUCUGUUGAAAGAGUUCACAUAGGCAUGAUCCCCACUCUUGAAUUACUUACUCCAGCACGAGAAUUGAGUAUUUCUCUGCUUAUAUGGUGUUAUUAAUUAUUUUAAGAUUGUUAGCUUAUAUUCCACAUCUUUCUUUUUUUUGUUCAGCCAUUUCCAAUGACUCAUCAAGUACAAAAAAAGGAAAACAGUCUGCAGCUCAUCAUACUUCCAGGAGCAAUACUGGGGCCAAGGUAGGCAUCAUUUUACUUGGGCUUGUGGCAGUGGGAUUAUUUUCUUUUUUCCUCUUCAAGUUAUGGCAAAAGAAGAAAAGAGAAGAGCAGUAUGCUCGUCUUUUGAAGUUGUUCGAAGAGGAUGAUGAACUUGAGGUUGAACUUGGCCUUCGGGACUGACACUUUUGAUUUUUAGAAUUCCUCGUAUUUGAGGUAUUUAUGACUAUUCACCCCAUAUAUUUCUCGGUCUCAAUUGCUAAGAUUUUGCUUCUCUCAGCAUUUUCUGCAAAUGUACUGUGUUUUUCAUAAAAAUCGGGAGCUCUUGAUUCUUAUUUAGUAACUCUCAUUUGCCUUCAUUGCUUUUGCAGGCUUCGGUGGCCAUGCUUUGUUCAGAAAACCCGUUCCUCUGGCUCUGGCGGUCUGGUGCCGUUCAAAUCAUAAAUUGUAGUAAAUAUAAUGGUUGCUUAGAUGAAAUUUUUUUCAUAAAUUACUGUCUUAAGGGAAAAGGACAAACUUUUUGUAUGAGAUGCUUGGGGGGGUCUUCUAUUCAUAGUUUGUAAAACACUUUAAAACAUGUGUAAAAGUUUUGAAUGUUUUGAUGCAUUGAAGUAACGUGAAACCAAGAGACUUAUAUUGGUGUGCCUUGAACAAACUUAAAGACCACAUUUUCAUAAGUUGUUUGCAUGAACAUAAAUUGGAUCUGAUUCAAAUCCUUUCGAGGUUGGUAGACCAAUCUUAGUUUACUAAUGGAGUUGGUUGGUAGCUUGCUUGUUCAAAAUGCU
Molecule: long non-coding RNA, 8534 nt
Filed under: Citrus maxima (pomelo)
Lineage: Eukaryota; Viridiplantae; Streptophyta; Magnoliopsida; Sapindales; Rutaceae
Description: long non-coding RNA (CMAX_LNC001178)
Source: RNAcentral